RNA transcript from Macadamia integrifolia, 2871 nucleotides. It is a transcript of the gene named protein ACTIVITY OF BC1 COMPLEX KINASE 7, chloroplastic, with no coding region annotated. The transcript is spliced from 19 exons. NCBI's taxonomy places the organism in Eukaryota, Viridiplantae, Streptophyta, Magnoliopsida, Proteales, Proteaceae. The record is from RefSeq and is a predicted model, not a curated record.
GAAAGGUGGUGGUUGAAAUGUGAUACGUAGACGGACUCCCUCCUGCGGCCCCCACCUCCGCAUCCGCCCUCGCCCCCAUUUUGGAGAUUUUAUUUCUUCGUUCCAACCACCAUUUUGGAGUUUGCUGAAACACUGAUGGAGAUCUUUAUACGACGCUUAGUGCGUGAUCGACUUUUCUCGUCCAAGUCAAGCUCCAUGAACAUCUCCAGAUUUCUAUUUAUUACUUCACCGUAUGAUGCUUUGAUCCAUGUAUUUCUCUUGAAGAUUCUCUGUUCUGACGAAUUUGCGGAGAAUCGGAGGCUUUUGGCUCUCGCAAAAAUUCUACUCAGUCUACGCUGUAUUAGGAUCUUUCAAUGGCCGCAGUACUGGCUUCCCAUGGCUGCUAUUGCUGCCAUGUUGAGUUAAGGGAACAAGGAAAAGCAAUAGAUGGUCUCAGUUUCCCCGGAUCAAUAUCUUCUCUGAAGCUUGAUAAACACACAAGGCUUGAGUAUGGUAUUCCUGCAAACAAUAGGUUUUUCAGGUUUCGAGUGAAAGCACAACAGACAGAAUCAUCCAGGAGGUUUGGUACUAAUGGACAAGCCGCUAAAAUGGAACCUACCAGGGAAGUAACAAAGCACAAGAGGUCUUCCAUAAAUAGGGGAGAGAUAGUGAAUGGCUCAAAACGAGUUAUUAACGGCACAAGCAUAGUUAAAAAAAACAAUGCUUCAGCUUUGGUCGAGGCACCAAAAAUCAGGGGCUCUAAAGAGCUUCGUUUUAUAGAGGAGCUGAAAGUUCUGCCCUCAGAUGAAGGUUUCAGUUGGGCCAAUGAAAAUUAUAGUUCCUGGCAUAGGACUAUAGAUGUGUGGUCGUUUGUUCUUUCUCUACGCAUUCGUGUUCUUUUAGACAAUGCAAAGUGGGCAUAUAUUGGAGGCUUCACAGAAGAUAAACGAAAAAGCAGAAGGCAAAGAACUGCCUUGUGGUUGCGAGAAUGUGUGCUCCAACUUGGUCCAACUUUUAUCAAACUUGGACAGCAGUGCUCAACCAGGUCUGAUCUAUUUCCACGAGAGUUUGUUGAUGAGCUCGCCAAGUUGCAGGAUAGAGUCCCCGCAUUUUCACCAGAGAAAGCUAGAGAUUUCAUAGAAAAAGAAUUGGGAGCCCCAAUUGAUGCAUUUUUCAAGAAGUUUGAAGAUAGGCCAAUUGCUGCGGCCAGUCUUGGUCAGGUGCAUCGAGCCAUUUUACAUAACGGAGAGAAGGUGGUUGUGAAAGUUCAGCGGCCCGGUCUGAAGAAACUUUUUGAUAUCGAUUUACGAAAUCUAAAACUAAUUGCCGAGUACUUUCAGAGAAGUGAAAAAUUUGGAGGUCCUACUAGGGAUUGGAUGGGUGUAUAUGAAGAAUGUGCCACGAUUUUGUAUCAAGAAAUUGAUUACAUAAAUGAGGGUAAAAAUGCUGAUCGGUUCCGCCGGGAUUUCCGAAACAUAAAGUGGGUUCGUGUACCUCUGGUGUUUUGGGAUUACACUGCCACGAAGGUAUUGACACUGGAGUAUGUUCCAGGCAUCAAAAUCAACAAUUUGGAUGUGAUAGGUGCGAGGGGCUAUGAUCGUUCUCAAAUUUCUUCACGUGCAAUUGAAGCAUAUUUAAUUCAGAUACUAAAAACUGGCUUCUUUCAUGCGGAUCCUCAUCCUGGAAAUAUUGCUAUUGAUGUGGAUGGAGCACUCAUUUACUAUGAUUUUGGCAUGAUGGGGGAGAUAAAAUCUUUCACUCAGGAAAGAUUGCUUAAUCUUUUCUAUUCAUUUUAUGAAAAGGAUGCAAAAAAGGUAAUGCAAAGCCUGAUAGAUCUUGAAGCACUACAGCCCACUGGAGACAUGUCAUCGGUGAGGAGGUCUGUGCAGUUUUUCAUGGACAAUUUACUAAGUCAGACACCAGAUCAGCAGCAAACUUUGGCCACAAUUGGUGAGGAUUUAUUUGCAAUAGCCACAGAUCAGCCUCUACGCUUCCCCUCCACAUUUACUUUUGUAAUGAGGGCUUUUACAACACUUGAAGGAAUUGGUUAUACGCUAGAUCCUGAUUUUUCCUUUGUGAAGAUUGCUGCACCGUAUGCGCAGGAGCUAUUAGAUUUAAAAGGGAAGCAGCGCUCUGGAACACAACUUGUGGAGGAGAUAAGCAGACAAGCCAAUGAUGCCAGAGCAUACACCAUGUCCAUGCCAUACAGAGUCCAGCGUAUAGAGGAAUUCGUGAAACAACUUGAGACAGGAGAUUUAAAACUCCGAGUGAGGGUACUUGAGUCAGAAAGAGCUGCUCGAAAGGCAGCUGUACUUCAAAUGGCCACUAUUUAUACAGUUUUUGGUGGGACCCUGCUAAGUAUUGGGAUCACAGUUAGCAGCCAAGGUAGCCAAGUAAUAGCGAAUGGAUCUUUCAUUGGAGCUGAAAAGUAGAAGGCAAAGAACUGCCUCAUGGUUGCGAGAAUGUGUGCUCCAACUUGGUCCAACUUUUAUCAAACUUGGACAGUUGUCCUCAACAAGGUCUGAUCUAUUUCCACGAGAGUUUGUGGACGAGCUUGCCAAGUUGCAGGAUAGAGUCCCUGCGUUUUCACCAGAGAAAGCUAGAGGUUUCAUAGAAAGAGAAUUGGGAGCCCCAAUUGAUGCAUUUUUCAAGAAGUUUGAAGAUAGGCCAAUUGCUGCAGCCAGUCUUGGUCAGGUGUUUGCUCCAAUUUUAAUACCAUAUACUUAACAUGAAGAAAUUUUCCUUUUGGCACUUUCAUACUUAUAAACUUUGAAAAUAUUGUAUCCUUGUUAUAUGCGUCAAGGACUCGACUCUGUUGCUUAAUUGGUUGUUGAAUAGAAUUGAAACCAAAGGAUUACAUUUUUUAAUCUAGCUUACCCAUUUAAUAUAUAU